AGUGAACGCUGGCGGUAGGCCUAACACAUGCAAGUCGAACGGCAGCACAGUAAGAGCUUGCUCUUACGGGUGGCGAGUGGCGGACGAGUGAGGAAUACAUCGGAAUCUACUUUUUCGUGGGGGAUAACGUAGGGAAACUUACGCUAAUACCGCAUACGACCUACGGGUGAAAGCAGGGGAUCUUCGGACCUUGCGCGAUUGAAUGAGCCGAUGUCGGAUUAGCUCGUUGGCGGGGUAAAGGCCCACCAAGGCGACGAUCCGUAGCUGGUCUGAGAGGAUGAUCAGCCACACUGGAACUGAGACACGGUCCAGACUCCUACGGGAGGCAGCAGUGGGGAAUAUUGGACAAUGGGCGCAAGCCUGAUCCGGCCAUACCGCGUGGGUGAAGAAGGCCUUCGGGUUGUAAAGCCCUUUUGUUGGGAAAGAAAAGCAGCAGGUUAAUACCCCGCUGUUCUGACGGUACCCAAAGAAUAAGCACCGGCUAACUUCGUG
RNAcentral lists this ribosomal RNA (492 nucleotides) under uncultured bacterium. RNAcentral's name for it is "partial 16S ribosomal RNA". It matches the Rfam family "Bacterial small subunit ribosomal RNA", at positions 29 to 507 of the family's 1533-position model. The record is from RNAcentral.